Molecule: long non-coding RNA, 823 nt
Filed under: Malus domestica (apple)
Lineage: Eukaryota; Viridiplantae; Streptophyta; Magnoliopsida; Rosales; Rosaceae
Description: long non-coding RNA (MDOM_LNC015251)
Source: RNAcentral
UCUCUAAUACAAUACUCUUAAUCACAUUGUUUAAGUGAUAGUUUGUUUCAUGUCUACUAUCCAAUGUGAUACUCAUCUAUAUGAUUCCUUUGAAUAUGAAUUGGAACAAACUUCCUAAGUCAUAUUCAUUUGCUUUGGCCAAAGACUUACGAAUCAUAUCUUAGAGUAUUUUCCUUCCACCAUGGAAGGUUAGAGAUCCUUUGUUGUGCAUUCAUAUGCCUACAUGACUAGAUAGCUUGACCCCAACAAUGCCGUGGACAUUCCGAUGGAAUGCCGUUGACAUGAUCAAAGAUCAAGGACCUAACCAUUAAACAUCUAUGAUGCCUCAGGUCAAAGGACUACUUUGCAUAUUGCAACUUUCGAGUUCUUACAUGACAUGUAUGUUCGAACUCUCUUUUGAUCGUUGUUCAGUGUACUCGAUUACUCUUUCGAGCACCUAUGUGUUUGUCUUAGUGUCCAACACCAAAAUGACUUGAGACUAGUCAUACUCACGCUUGAGUUGAACAUAACACAUACUAACCUUAGCGGAUUGUCAAUGCCCAAUUGGCAAUCCUAUGGCUAGGAACGUUUUAGGAAUGAACAUAAGAGAAAGGUCUCGAUAAUCUAACUCACUUAGAUCACUUGUCUCUUAGAUCAAAUACAUUCCUUGGAUUCCCUUAUUGCUUAAACACAUGAUACAAUAAAUAGUGAUUAACAAUAAGCUUUGCCCUUCAUUAAACAUAUAAAAGUUUAAUACAUUAAGUAUUCCAAAAAAGCUAUUACAUCAAAUGAGUGGCUUUGUGGGCAUACUUCCAACAAUCUCCCACUUGCACUCAAAGCCAUC